This 254-nucleotide ribosomal RNA is filed under the name uncultured bacterium. RNAcentral's name for it is "partial 16S ribosomal RNA". It matches the Rfam family "Bacterial small subunit ribosomal RNA", at positions 524 to 776 of the family's 1533-position model. The record is from RNAcentral.
CACGGGGGGAGCAAGCGUUGUUCGGAUUCAUUGGGCGUAAAGAGCUCGUAGGCGGUUCGAUAAGUCGGGUGUGAAACCUCCAGGCUCAACCUGGAGACGCCAUCCGAUACUGUUGUGACUUGAGUCCGGUAGGGGAGCGUGGAAUUCCUGGUGUAGCGGUGAAAUGCACAGAUAUCAGGAGGAACACCCGUAGCGAAGGCGGCACUCUGGGCCGAUACUGACGCUGAGGAGCGAAAGCGUGGGGAGCAAACAGG